GUGCUCACUUAGGCACCACAUACACUAAAUUUGGAACAAUACAGAGAUUAGCAUGGCCACUGUACAAAGAUGACAUAUAAAUUCGUAUUCCUCUAUUUCCUUUA
Suncus etruscus (white-toothed pygmy shrew) is the source of this 104-nucleotide small nuclear RNA. The record is from RefSeq and is a predicted model, not a curated record. Lineage: Eukaryota; Metazoa; Chordata; Mammalia; Eulipotyphla; Soricidae.